This 689-nucleotide ribosomal RNA is filed under the name uncultured fungus. RNAcentral's name for it is "eukaryotic LSU rRNA". The stretch from base 268 to 421 matches the Rfam family "5.8S ribosomal RNA". The record is from RNAcentral. Lineage: Eukaryota; Fungi.
CUUGGUCAUUUAGAGGAAGUAAAAGUCGUAACAAGGUUUCCGUAGGUGAACCUGCGGAAGGAUCAUUAAUGAAACUUCAAGUCGGCUUUGUUUAUCUGUGCUGGUGGAGACACAUGUGCACGUUAACAAGUCGCAAAUCCACACACCUGUGCAUCUAUGACUCUGAGUAUCGCUUUGCGUGGCCCUCAUCUGGGCCUGGUACUCGAGUACUUUACACACUCUUGAAUGUAAUGGAAUGUCUAUUUGUGCAUAAUGUACAACUAAAACAACUUUCAACAACGGAUCUCUUGGCUCUCGCAUCGAUGAAGAACGCAGCGAAAUGCGAUAAGUAAUGUGAAUUGCAGAAUUCAGUGAAUCAUCGAAUCUUUGAGCGCACCUUGCACCCUUUGGUAUUCCGAAGGGUACACCCGUUUGAGUGUCAUUGUAAUCUCACUACAACCACUUUAGUGUUUGUUGUAUGUGGACUCGGAUGCUGCUGUGUAACUAACAGCUCGUCUGAAAUGCCUGAGUGUACCCUGCUUUGCGGCGUAUUCGGUGUGAUACAUCUUCACCGGAGUUUGACUUUCGGGUCGCGUUUGUAUUGUUUGGCUCUAUGCUUUCCAACCGUCUUGACAAGACAAUCUCUGACAAUUUGACCUCAAAUCGGGUGGGACUACCCGCUGAACUUAAGCAUAUCAAUAAGCGGAGGA